UCGCUGCGUUAUCCCAAAUGGGGUCGCGA
Molecule: small RNA, 29 nt
Filed under: Bombyx mori (domestic silkworm)
Lineage: Eukaryota; Metazoa; Arthropoda; Insecta; Lepidoptera; Bombycidae
Description: ovarian small RNA-28852
Source: RNAcentral